Long non-coding RNA from Bombus impatiens (common eastern bumble bee), 1420 nucleotides. RefSeq lists it as uncharacterized. The transcript has 2 exons. Lineage: Eukaryota; Metazoa; Arthropoda; Insecta; Hymenoptera; Apidae. The record is from RefSeq and is a predicted model, not a curated record.
GAUGAAAAAGAGUUAUAUUGCGCAUAUAGGGUCGGAAAUAGAACAGAUUCAAAGUCAAAUAAUUCCUUGUUGCGUUUGAAGCGAAUAACUUUCUCGCUUCAGAAGAUAUUGUACCGUACGGAAACAAUGGAUUUUAUCUGCCUCGAUACAAAAUACCAGUGAAAUGGUUAGAACACGUCCAGGGAUCUUUGAAAGAGUACGCAAUUCUUUGAUACGAAAGUAUCAACCGUGUGCAAAAAUGGAAGGAAAUCAUGUACAAAACCUUCUAUAAGCAAGAAAAGAAGAAAUGAUAAGGUAAUCCAUUGUUUCCAUGCGGUACGAUAGUUUCUACAGCGAGCAACUUUCUCGCUUCAACGGAAACAAAAAUCUGUUUAUAACUUUAGAACUCUUAAUCUUUCUAUCCAUGUCUAUUACGACCUUUUUCCAUCGUUUGGUAAGUACGAUCUACCUCAGAAGCUAUGAACCCUUUAUUUGCUUCACCUUGUAUAUUAAAACUUACAUUUAAGCAAACUAUCGUAAAAACUUUGACGUCAUUAAACUUUCAAAUUCACAACAGUUACAAUUACUUUUUAGUAUUAUUCAAAGAUUCAAAUAACGUAUAAAUUAAUUCGAUCUCUUCUAUUAACGAUACGCUUAAUAAAGAAGUAACAGAAAGCGAGGUACGGAAUGAAAUGGAACAAAAGAUAAUUCGAAUUAAAUGAAUUGAAAUUUUAUUGAUGUAACUAAUAGAAAAAACAUGACAGAGAAGAGGCGGUAUAUAGUAAAAAGGGCAUGGGUAGUUAGAGAGAGACGAAAAUAGCGUAGUUACGAUCGAACGUGAAAAGGACAAGUAUCGAGAGAAAGAGAAAAAGUGUAACCUGUGCUGAAAUCAAACGGGAAGGAGAAAGGAGGGUUGCAACGUUAAAGAGAGACGAAGAGAGAACAGCGAUAGAAAGGAAAAAGUAACGCGUGGAAAAGAGAUGAAACAUCGACAAAGAAGGAAAAGGAUGACCGCUGAAGGUGGGAGUAGAAAAGAUAGAGAGAAAGAUGGACGAAGCCGGUUACCAGUGCGGCUGACUCACCGAUCGUUCUCGUUGCGCUAUCAGUGACGAGUCUGUUUAACCAUUGCGCAUCUGUAACGAGAUAAUCAGAAAAAUUAAUUGACCAGACGUCCCGAGCCGAUUUUUGUCACGAUACGGUCAUAUAGAACACGGUGAACUAAUUUUAUCUUUAAUAAAUCGUCUCGUAUAUUAUUGAGAAAAGAUUCGUUCGAAAAUUUGUAUUUUCAAGGAGCAGUCAAGAUUUCGAAAAUAACAAAUGCAUUGCUUCAAGAGAAGGGAAAAUAAAAUGUACUCAAAGUGUAUCAUUUUUGUACAGCUGUAUAAACCUCAUUCAGUGAUUUGAGUAAAUUUAAAUAAAAAAAAAAAAAAAAAAGAAACGA